CAGUUUACAGAUCAGCAAGUGGCUACGAAAAUGUCUCGUCUAGUCAGAUGCUGGCCAAUCCCGAGCUCCAGUCUACGUAGGGCCCCGCCCACCACCGAGGACAGGCCAAUCUCGUUGAGUCUGGUAGACCAGAGUUACGGUUUUGGGAAAGGAGAGCUCAAAGAACAGUUGCCAUGUUCCUCACUUCGGUCUCUCAUCGUGACUAAUGAGUGUUCAUGUUGACCUUGAUCAUUCACUGAGGUAGUUGUGGACUGUGUUUACAUUUCAAAGGCAUGAUAAGAUUAAUAACUUCAAGGGACAGUGGAAGAAGGCAAAUCCCUCCAAGAAUGAUUGGCUUUCCUAAGGCCAAUAAUUUGGAAGCCUUUGGAGAUAACAGAAUUUUUGCAGCUGGAAAAAGGAAUAGGUUAAUUUUGAAUUGCCUCCAGAGCUGACUUUUGCUUUGCUAAAGAUUUGUAAGACAAAGACAGUUAUUCUCAAUUCCUCAGAAAGUUGGGUUGUAAGUUGGUCCAUCUAUCCAAGUAUGUUAUCUUCAAUUUUCUGCCUUCUCUCUGGGUACAAAGUUCUAAUUUUAAAUAUUUCUGGCAGUACUGAAUAACUCCCCUCGCAUGUAAGAGGGGUCCCCAAAGUGGAUGCAAAGGAUACUAUUUUCCCAAGAUCCAGAGUCAAUUCCAUAGAUAGCUGAAAAAAAGAACCAAUAACUGGCAUGUCCCAAGCAGGCAAAAAACCAAGCCCAUUUAUGUAAAAUAAGACAAUACCUAUCCGUGGGAGAAAAAAGAUCAAUAACCGAUGGGUCUGGAUUUGGACAGGAAGAGACAACUUGAAAUUUUAUUUUCCUCUUUCAACUGGACUACAGACAGACCAUCAGAGGAACUGGGUCUGGUAUGAAUUUUCACCCUUUGCUGCCUUCUGCCAGAUUUUCCAGGAUCCUCUCAAUAGACUCUGGAAUCUACCAGAGUUUCCCUUCAGCUGUUUAAAGGAGCAACAUAGCAGUUUACCAGAAAAUCCCUCAGUCUCGUAAACUCUGGGAGGGGUCCAUAUGGGAGCCCUCCUUUGAAGGUAGAUAUGAGGGUAUCUACAAGGUCAUUAACUUGGUAGGCUUUUGUUUAUGGUUGUGUAGUCUUUUUUGUUUUAAUGUUUUUAUUUAUUUUUGAGAGAGAAAGAGAGAGA
Molecule: long non-coding RNA, 1167 nt
Organism: Felis catus (domestic cat)
Lineage: Eukaryota; Metazoa; Chordata; Mammalia; Carnivora; Felidae
Exons: 3
Source: RefSeq, a predicted model, not a curated record